GUGAGGAAUAUUGGUCAAUGGGCGAGAGCCUGAACCAGCCAAGUCGCGUGAAGGAAGAAGGAUCUAUGGUUCGUAAACUUCUUUUGCAGGGGAAUAAAGUGCGGGACGUGUCCUGUUUUGUAUGUACCCUGAGAAUAAGGAUCGGCUAACUCCGUGCCAGCAGCCGCGGUAAUACGGAGGAUCCGAGCGUUAUCCGGAUUUAUUGGGCUUAAAGGGUGCGUAGGUGGUUUGAUAAGUCAGCGGUGAAAGUUUGAAGCUUAACUGUAAAAAUGCCGUUGAUACUGUCGAACUUGAGUGUAAAUGAGGUAGGCGUAAUGCGUGGUGUAGCGGUGAAAUGCAUAGAUCUCACGCAGAACUCCGAUUGCGAAGGCAGCUUACUAAGCUACAACUGACACUGAAGCACGAAAGCGUGGGGAUCAAACAGGAUUAGAAACCCUGGUAGUCC
RNAcentral lists this ribosomal RNA (445 nucleotides) under uncultured bacterium. Its description in RNAcentral is "partial 16S ribosomal RNA". It matches the Rfam family "Bacterial small subunit ribosomal RNA", at positions 354 to 796 of the family's 1533-position model. The record is from RNAcentral.